This 504-nucleotide long non-coding RNA is filed under the name Homo sapiens (human). Its description in RNAcentral is "non-protein coding lnc-ZC3HC1-1:1". Lineage: Eukaryota; Metazoa; Chordata; Mammalia; Primates; Hominidae. The record is from RNAcentral.
GAGGCAGGAGAAUCCUUUGAACUUGGGAAGUGGAGGUUGCAGUGAGCUGAGAUUGCGCCAUUGCACUCCAGCCUGGGCAACAAGAGCGAAACUCCAUCUCGAAAAAAAAAAAGGAAUGUAAGUUAGUUAAUUUACACUCCAGUGGCAUAUUUAUUUAACCAUCUCUUGAUUUCGGGUAGCUAUUACUUUCAUUCUCUUUCACUAUACUUUAUGAUUCUUUUAAUAUUCAACUAUAAGAUAGUAAAAAAAAUUCUUAGAGUUGCUUGUAAAAAAGAAAGUAAUUAUUUGACAGCUACUUGGGAAUUAUGUAUCCAAAAUCUGUACCUUAUUUCUUCUAGUGGAUCAAUGAGACAAUAUUAGUGCCACUUGUUCAAGAGAUUGAGUCUGUCAGCACACAGAUGAGACGAAUGGGUUGUCCAGAGCUACAGAUAGGAGAGGCUAGUAUUACUAGCUUGAAACAAGCUGCCCUGGUUAAAGCGCCUCUCAUUCCGACUUUGAACACAA